GUAUCCUUACCUGAAUACAUAGGGUAAGGAGGCGAACCGGGGGAACUGAAACAUCUAAGUACCCCGAGGAAAAGAAAUCAACCGAGAUUCCGAAAGUAGCGGCGAGCGAAAUUGGACUAGCCCUUAAGCUUUACACGCGUUAGACGAACGGUCUGGAAAGUCCGACGAUACAGGGUGAUAGUCCCGUAGUUGACGACGUGUGUUCAGUGAAAUCGAGUAGGGCGGGACACGUGAUAUCCUGUCUGAAUAUGGGGGGACCAUCCUCCAAGGCUAAAUACUACUGACUGACCGAUAGUGAACCAGUACCGUGAGGGAAAGGCGAAAAGAACCCCUGUGAGGGGAGUGAAAUAGAACCUGAAACCGUGUACGUACAAGCAGUAGGAGCAGGCUUUGUCCUGUGACUGCGUACCUUUUGUAUAAUGGGUCAGCGACUUAUAUUCAGUGGCAAGGUUAACCAUCUAGGGGAGCCGUAGGGAAACCGAGUCUUAACUGGGCGUUCAGUCUCUGGAUAUAGACCCGAAACCAGGUGAUCUAGCCAUGGGCAGGUUGAAGGUUGAGUAACAUCAACUGGAGGACCGAACCGACUAAUGUUGAAAAAUUAGCGGAUGACUUGUGGCUAGGGGUGAAAGGCCAAUCAAACCUGGAGAUAGCUGGUUCUCCCCGAAAGCUAUUUAGGUAGCGCCUCGGACAAAUACUACGUGGGGGUAGAGCACUGUUAAGGCUAGGGGGUCAUCCCGACUUACCAACCCUUUGCAAACUCCGAAUACCAGUAAGUACUAUCCGGGAGACACACGGCGGGUGCUAACGUCCGUCGUGGAGAGGGAAACAACCCAGACCGCCAGCUAAGGUCCCAAAUUACUACUAAGUGGGAAACGAUGUGGGAAGGCUCAGACAGCCAGGAUGUUGGCUUAGAAGCAGCCAUCAUUUAAAGAAAGCGUAAUAGCUCACUGGUCGAGUCGGCCUGCGCGGAAGAUGUAACGGGGCUAAGUAGUAAACCCGAAGCUGCGGCAAUGUGCUUUUGCACAUUGGGUAGGGGAGCGUUCUGUAAGCGGUUGAAGGUGUGUGGUAACGCAUGCUGGACGUAUCAGAAGUGCGAAUGCUGACAUGAGUAACGAUAAAGGGGGUGAAAAACCUCCUCGCCGGAAGACCAAGGGUUCCUGUCCAACGUUAAUCGGGGCAGGGUAAGUCGACCCCUAAGGCGAGGCCGAAAGGCGUAGUCGAUGGGAAACGGGUUAAUAUUCCCGUACUUCUUACAAUUGCGAUGGGGGGACGGAGAAGGCUAGGUGGGCCUGGCGACGGUUGUCCAGGUUCAAGUGCGUAGGCUUGAGAGUUAGGUAAAUCCGGCUCUUUUUAAGGCUGAGACACGACGUCGAGCACUACGGUGUGAAGUCAUUGAUGCCAUGCUUCCAGGAAAAGCCUCUAAGCUUCAGAUUGUAAGGAAUCGUACCCCAAACCGACACAGGUGGUCGGGUAGAGAAUACCAAGGCGCUUGAGAGAACUCGGGUGAAGGAACUAGGCAAAAUGGUACCGUAACUUCGGGAGAAGGUACGCUCUCGACGGUGAAGUCCCUCGCGGAUGGAGCUAUUGAGAGUCGCAGAUACCAGGUGGCUGCAACUGUUUAUUAAAAACACAGCACUGUGCAAAAUCGUAAGAUGACGUAUACGGUGUGACGCCUGCCCGGUGCCGGAAGGUUAAUUGAUGGGGUUAGACUUCGGUCGAAGCUCUUGAUCGAAGCCCCGGUAAACGGCGGCCGUAACUAUAACGGUCCUAAGGUAGCGAAAUUCCUUGUCGGGUAAGUUCCGACCUGCACGAAUGGCGUAAUGAUGGCCACGCUGUCUCCACCCGAGACUCAGUGAAAUUGAAAUCGCUGUGAAGAUGCAGUGUACCCGCGGCUAGACGGAAAGACCCCGUGAACCUUUACUACAGCUUGGCACUGAACAUUGACCCUACAUGUGUAGGAUAGGUGGGAGGCUUUGAAGCACGUACGCCAGUAUGUGUGGAGCCGUCCUUGAAAUACCACCCUUGUAGUGUUGAUGUUCUAACGUCGACCCCUUAUCGGGGUUGCGGACAGUGCCUGGUGGGUAGUUUGACUGGGGCGGUCUCCUCCCAAAGAGUAACGGAGGAGCACGAAGGUGGGCUAAUCACGGUUGGACAUCGUGAGGUUAGUGCAAUGGCAUAAGCCCGCUUGACUGCGAGAAUGACAAUUCGAGCAGGUGCGAAAGCAGGUCAUAGUGAUCCGGUGGUUCUGAAUGGAAGGGCCAUCGCUCAACGGAUAAAAGGUACUCCGGGGAUAACAGGCUGAUACCGCCCAAGAGUUCAUAUCGACGGCGGUGUUUGGCACCUCGAUGUCGGCUCAUCACAUCCUGGGGCUGAAGUCGGUCCCAAGGGUAUGGCUGUUCGCCAUUUAAAGUGGUACGCGAGCUGGGUUUAGAACGUCGUGAGACAGUUCGGUCCCUAUCUGCCGUGGGCGUUGGAAGAUUGAAGGGGGCUGCUCCUAGUACGAGAGGACCGGAGUGGACGAACCUCUGGUGUUCGGGUUGUGUCGCCAGACGCAUUGCCCGGUAGCUAAGUUCGGAAUCGAUAACCGCUGAAAGCAUCUAAGCGGGAAGCGAGCCCUGAGAUGAGUCUUCCCUGAUACUUUAAGUAUCCUAAAGGGUUGUCGGAGACUACGACGUUGAUAGGUCAGGUGUGUAAGUGCUGUGAGGCAUUGAGCUAACUGAUACUAAUUGCCCGUGAGGCUUAACCAUACAACACCCAAGGGGUUU
Molecule: ribosomal RNA, 2765 nt
Filed under: Vibrio parahaemolyticus
Lineage: Bacteria; Pseudomonadati; Pseudomonadota; Gammaproteobacteria; Vibrionales; Vibrionaceae
Description: bacterial LSU rRNA
Rfam family: Bacterial large subunit ribosomal RNA
Source: RNAcentral